GCACAUAGAUUGCGAACAGGAGAAAAAAAAUCAUUCUAAGUGCAACUGAUAAAAAAUAAAUGUUACUUUAUUGAAUUGUAUUUUUGCUGUCAUAAAUUUAGAGUGCUGCAACAUAAAAAUUAACCCUGUCAACAUAAAAUCCAAGCAUAAACAUAACAAACGAGAAACGGACAUGGCGCGCUGGAGACGCACAUGUUGUCGCAGAAAAUUGCGGAAUUUUGUUUUCGAACAUGAUGCUCAAAGCAUUAAAUUUGCAACUUGGUUGGCAUUGGCUGUUUUUGAAGAAUUGCACGGGACGUCGACCGCUUCUCCACCGUCACCAAGGACGAACAAUUUGGGUGGGAGCUGCUGGACGACGCGGAGGUACCGGAAGAGCGCUGAGAUACGCGAAUAGAAUCGAUCCUAGCGGAGCUCCUUGGACCACCAACUUUGUCGGUCGUGGCAUCAGCGGAUCAUCUGGACCAUCAUUUACGUUAGCUAGUGGCGUAAGUGGUGUGAAUUGUCCAGCUAGACACAGCGCUAAUCCCCCUCGAAUUAACAAGUACAUCGACC
Aedes albopictus (Asian tiger mosquito) is the source of this 552-nucleotide long non-coding RNA. RefSeq lists it as uncharacterized. NCBI's taxonomy places the organism in Eukaryota, Metazoa, Arthropoda, Insecta, Diptera, Culicidae. The record is from RefSeq and is a predicted model, not a curated record. The transcript has 2 exons.